Hypanus sabinus (Atlantic stingray) is the source of this 2159-nucleotide long non-coding RNA. RefSeq lists it as uncharacterized. The transcript is spliced from 3 exons. The record is from RefSeq and is a predicted model, not a curated record. NCBI's taxonomy places the organism in Eukaryota, Metazoa, Chordata, Chondrichthyes, Myliobatiformes, Dasyatidae.
ACAGUCCAGGGCGGGGACGGGGCGAAAAGUCCGUAUAUGGAGUCGGUCUCUAUUUGUUGGGGUUUCGGCUCCACUGUGGGAAUCGGCCUCUCCUCUUCCUGCCCACGGAACAGUGAGUUUCUGUCAGCGCCUCAUCGCACCGGCUCUUUGCCUCAGAAAACUCAGCAUCUACUUCAACACAGCAAGCUUCCACAAACAACAUAAUCAAUGGAAAUGUCAAUCCAUGGCCUCCUAUACUGUCCCAAUGAGGCCACACUCAGAGGACAGCAUUGUAUUGCAACAGCCUGGCUGUGUGAGGCACAGCCCUUCAAAAUCAGUGAAAAUGACCCAAAACAAUGAAUAGAGCAGAACACGAAGAUUUUAACCACACAAGACGUCAUCCUUGGUCCAGAGCUGUGAGGAAUGAAGACUAUUUGGGACAAAACCCUAGUGAAUUCAUCUUCUGCAGUUUCCAGAAAGUUAUGGAUUUAAUUCAAAGUAAACCUCUGUAUCACAAGCUGAGCAGUUGCAAAAUGUAUAUUAUAGGGUGAGUGACAGGUGAACAGCAGUGAUGGAUUUGAAAGCUCUGGGGUAGAAAAGGAACAAAAGCCGGUACCAGAUGAACUGAGUGGCCUUUCUACUGUACAUUAGCUGUGUGGCAGGCAGGAAGUUCCUGAGACACAAGAUUUGAAAUAGAGCUGAUUAAUUUGUCACAGAUCCACAACAUUAAUGCCAGAGUAUUUUCAGACUAACUUCAGCAGAACAAACACUCCAAUGCUCAGUGACCAGGGUUCAGUCACAAUAUCUGCAAAAUCUGAUAUUGACAGUCUCACAUGAACUUCCAACUAGAUUCAGUCAUCAUGAUGGUUAAAAUGUUCACCUAAAGCUUUAUUAAACUUCCUCCCUGAUGUGAAGUUGCCAGUGUUUCUGCAGGUGGGAUGACUGAGUAAAUUUCUUUGCUGACACAAGACCGAAGUGUGUCCUCUAUGUAUUUUAAACUUGCUGGAGCCUCACAAAAUGGGUGAACUGAGUGAAUCUCCUCCCACGCUUGGAACAGGUGUGAAGCUAUACUGAGAGACAGAGACAACUGAGCCAAGUCUAGCUGCUCACCGAUGUGACCCGGCUGAUGGAGUAAGAGCUCAUGUGACUGAAUGAAUCCUCUCCCACACACAGAGCAGGUUAAUGCCCUCUCCCCAUGUGAACUGGCUGGUGUAUCUGCAGGUUCAGUGGCCUGGUGAAUCCCUUGCAAAAUGAGAGGAAGUGAAUGUCAGCUCAGCGGUAUCAACUCUGUGGCCAUUUAUCAGGUCAGAUGAAGGACAUGUCCACGUAUUGGGGUUCUCCUUGCUCAGACUGGUGGGCAGUCUUCUCAACCAUCUCCUCCUUCACAUUCAAUGAUUAGUAGUAUUCAAAUGUCAGGGAACUGACAAUCACAUGAGUCCAGACACACUGUUGCGUUUGAGAUUCUCAGACAUAAAUUCUUUGCCUUUUCUGCCCUGUAAAAUGUUUGCAAAGAAGACCAAUAGGUGAAAGACAACAUUUCAGCUGAGAUUAUUUAGUUUUUUUCAUUGAUGUCUGAUGUCACACUGUUAAGGAGAGGCUGAACACAAUUUGCUGGAUCAACAUUUCCAGCUGAGAAUAGUUCAGGCAUAAGGACACAACAUCAGAUUCUCUGUUUUCCUCUCUGCCCUUCAUCAAGCUGUGACUUGGCUCAGUUUGUCUCUCUCCAUUCGUACAACUUCACAUUCUGGGUAUCUCCCACAGACCUACUAAGAACACACAUUUGUUGGCAUUUGGCAGUGGUAAACUCGGAGUCAGCAAUGCCAUUGAACCUGAAGAGAAUGUGAUCAGGCUUUCUCGUUGCAGACUGACACUGUGGUAUUCUUGUAGUGUGAAUGCUACUGGUACCCAGUAUGUUAUUGUGGGUUUUUACAAAUAAAAUGGCAUGAGGCAUUUUAUGUUUAGUGACAACUGUAACAACUCAUUUAUUAUCCUCCAAACACAGAAACAAAGCACAGUUUAAAAUAAAAUGACAUAAUUACAUCAUAACAUCUGUCCAGCCUUUUAAAGAGAAACACAACUCAAUGUUGGUGGUUGUUAAUUCUGCAUGUUUCCACCCAUUACAUUAAUCUACACAGACACCCCUCCCCCCCCCCCAGUCCUCUCACUGCUCCCCCUCUGUG